UGGGGAAUUUUGCGCAAUGGGGGAAACCCUGAUGCAGCGACGCCGCGUGAUUUAGAAGGCCUUCGGGUUGUAAAAAUCUUUUCUAUGGGAAGAAAAUGACAGUACCAUAGGAAUAAGGACCGGCUAAUUACGUGCCAGCAGCCGCGGUAAUACGUAAGGUCCGAGCGUUGUCCGGAAUCAUUGGGCGUAAAGGGUACGUAGGCGGGUAAGCAAGUUAGAAGUGAAAUCCUAUAGCUCAACUAUAGUAAGCUUUUAAAACUGCUCAUCUUGAGGUAUGGAAGGGAAGGUGGAAUUCCUAGUGUAGCGGUGAAAUGCGCAGAUAUUAGGAGGAAUACCGGUGGCGAAGGCGACUUUCUGGCCAUAACCUGACGCUGAGGUACGAAAGCGUGGGUAGCAAACAGG
Molecule: ribosomal RNA, 402 nt
Filed under: bacterium
Lineage: Bacteria
Description: partial 16S ribosomal RNA
Rfam family: Bacterial small subunit ribosomal RNA
Source: RNAcentral